This 468-nucleotide ribosomal RNA is filed under the name uncultured bacterium. RNAcentral's name for it is "partial 16S ribosomal RNA". It matches the Rfam family "Bacterial small subunit ribosomal RNA", at positions 28 to 507 of the family's 1533-position model. The record is from RNAcentral.
GACGAACGCUGGCGGCGUGCUUAACACAUGCAAGUCGAACGGUGAAGCUCCAGCUUGCUGGAGUGGAUCAGUGGCGAACGGGUGAGUAACACGUGAGCAACCUGCCCCAGACUCUGGAAUAAGCGCUGGAAACGGCGUCUAAUACUGGAUACGAGAUCAAGCCGCAUGGUUAUGGUCUGGAAAGUUUGUCGGUUUGGGAUGGGCUCGCGGCCUAUCAGCUUGUUGGUGAGGUAAUGGCUCACCAAGGCGACGACGGGUAGCCGGCCUGAGAGGGCGACCGGCCACACUGGGACUGAGACACGGCCCAGACUCCUACGGGAGGCAGCAGUGGGGAAUAUUGCACAAUGGGCGAAAGCCUGAUGCAGCGACGCCGCGUGAGGGAUGACGGCCUUCGGGUUGUAAACCUCUUUCAGCAGGGAAGAAGCGAAAGUGACGGUACCUGCAGAAGAAGCACCGGCUAACUACGUG